RNAcentral lists this ribosomal RNA (446 nucleotides) under uncultured bacterium. RNAcentral describes it as "partial 16S ribosomal RNA". It matches the Rfam family "Bacterial small subunit ribosomal RNA", at positions 338 to 795 of the family's 1533-position model. The record is from RNAcentral.
CCUACGGGAGGCAGCAGUCGAGAAUCAUUCACAAUGGGGGAAACCCUGAUGGUGCGACGCCGCGUGGGGGAAUGAAGGUCUUCGGAUUGUAAACCCCUGUCAUGUGGGAGCAAAUUAAAAAGAUAGUACCACAAGAGGAAGAGACGGCUAACUCUGUGCCAGCAGCCGCGGUAAUACAGAGGUCUCAAGCGUUGUUCGGAAUCACUGGGCGGAAAGCGUGCGUAGGCUGUUUCGUAAGUCGUGUGUGAAAGGCGCGGGCUCAACCCGCGGACGGCACAUGAUACUGCGAGACUAGAGUAAUGGAGGGGGAACCGGAAUUCGCGGUGUAGCAGUGAAAUGCGUAGAUAUCGAGAGGAACACUCGUGGCGAAGGCGGGUUCCUGGACAUUAACUGACGCUGAGGCACGAAGGCCAGGGGAGCGAAAGGGAUUAGAUACCCGAGUAGUC